Molecule: ribosomal RNA, 304 nt
Filed under: uncultured bacterium
Lineage: Bacteria
Description: partial 16S ribosomal RNA
Rfam family: Bacterial small subunit ribosomal RNA
Source: RNAcentral
CAGCAGCAGCCGCGGGAAUACGAAGGGGGCUAGCGUUGCUCGGAAUGACUGGGCGUAAAGGGCGCGUAGGCGGUUUGUACAGUCAGAUGUGAAAUUCCUGGGCUCAACCUGGGGACUGCAUUUGAUACGUACGGACUUGAGUGGAGAAGAGGGUCGUGGAAUUUCCAGUGUAGAGGUGAAAUUCGUAGAUAUUGGAAAGAACACCGGUGGCGAAGGCGGCGACCUGGUCUUUAACUGACGCUGAGGCGCGAAAGCGUGGGGAGCAAACAGGAUUAGAUACCCCAGUAGUCCCUGUCUCUUAUAC